RNAcentral lists this ribosomal RNA (429 nucleotides) under Pseudomonadota bacterium. RNAcentral describes it as "Proteobacteria bacterium partial 16S ribosomal RNA". It matches the Rfam family "Bacterial small subunit ribosomal RNA", at positions 355 to 776 of the family's 1533-position model. Lineage: Bacteria; Pseudomonadati; Pseudomonadota. The record is from RNAcentral.
UGGGGAAUAUUGGACAAUGGGCGAAAGCCUGAUCCAGCCAUGCCGCGUGUGUGAAGAAGGUCUUCGGAUUGUAAAGCACUUUAAGUUGGGAGGAAGGGCAGUAAGCGAAUACCUUGCUGUUUUGACGUUACCGACAGAAUAAGCACCGGCUAACUCUGUGCCAGCAGCCGCGGUAAUACAGAGGGUGCGAGCGUUAAUCGGAUUUACUGGGCGUAAAGCGUGCGUAGGCGGCUAAUUAAGUCAAAUGUGAAAUCCCCGGGCUUAACUUGGGAAUUGCAUUCGAUACUGGUUAGCUAGAGUGUGGGAGAGGAUGGUAGAAUUCCAGGUGUAGCGGUGAAAUGCGUAGAGAUCUGGAGGAAUACCGAUGGCGAAGGCAGCCAUCUGGCCUAACACUGACGCUGAGGUGCGAAAGCAUGGGGAGCAAACAGG